This 253-nucleotide ribosomal RNA is filed under the name uncultured bacterium. RNAcentral's name for it is "partial 16S ribosomal RNA". It matches the Rfam family "Bacterial small subunit ribosomal RNA", at positions 524 to 776 of the family's 1533-position model. The record is from RNAcentral.
UACGAAGGGGGCGAGCGUUGUUCGGAAUUACUGGGCGUAAAGGGCGCGUAGGCGGCCGAUCAAGUCAGAUGUGAAAGUCCUGGGCUUAACCUGGGGACUGCAUUUGAUACUGAUUGGCUUGAAUUCGGGAGAGGAUAGCGGAAUUCCCAGUGUAGAGGUGAAAUUCGUAGAUAUUGGGAAGAACACCGGUGGCGAAGGCGGCUAUCUGGACCGACAUUGACGCUGAGGCGCGAAAGCGUGGGGGGCAAACAGG